Long non-coding RNA from Eptesicus fuscus (big brown bat), 532 nucleotides. RefSeq lists it as uncharacterized. The transcript has 5 exons. Lineage: Eukaryota; Metazoa; Chordata; Mammalia; Chiroptera; Vespertilionidae. The record is from RefSeq and is a predicted model, not a curated record.
ACCACCUGCACCGUCGAAAACCCUAGUAUAACUGAAAUAUCAGUCCUCCAUAUUUGCAGAUUCCCAAUUGCAAAUAGAAAAAAAGAAAACAUAAUCUGAAUUGAGAGGGGGUUGAUGACCCACAUGACUCAAUGAGACAAGAGGACUGCAUGUGAGAACUGGAAACAAGGGAGAGAAUCACAGGGCAGUGGUCAAGGGCUAACCCUUUCUUAGCCCAGCAGCACCAUAGUAAAAAUGGAUGACCCCUGCCUUUGAUAAGAAAAAAUGAAUAGAAAAUGCCUGUGUAACUAAAAAUAUAAAGGAAUUAUUAGCAAUACAAGAGCAUUCACAUGCACCUUUGACAUGUCCUCGCAGACAGAGGACUGAAAAUUUCAAAAGACUUAUCAUUUGAAGCUUGAAAAUUGCUACUAAAGAGAAGAUAUAUGCAUGGAAUAAUGAUACAGUAUAUUCAACUUGGAUAAUCACCAAGCAUUUAUUCACUCAAACUUUCCUCCAAAAUUAAUAUCAAUGCUAUCUCUAUGAAUUAACAAAU